Long non-coding RNA from Halichondria panicea, 1564 nucleotides. RefSeq lists it as uncharacterized. The transcript is spliced from 4 exons. The record is from RefSeq and is a predicted model, not a curated record. NCBI's taxonomy places the organism in Eukaryota, Metazoa, Porifera, Demospongiae, Suberitida, Halichondriidae.
AUAGACGCUGAUGAAGCACCAGCAAGGUAACUGUACCCAGUAGAUCAAGUACCAUCUUACACACUGUGCUCACUCACUCACAGAGCUGGCUGUAUUCUGGCUGGUCUGGGGUUCACUCCACAGAAGAAUGAGAUUUUAUCUAGCUAAGACACUAUUUGCAAGGGGAAGGCGUGGGUGUUUUUUCAGAAUCAGGCUUGUUUUCAGAGCUAUCUUUUAGCUGCCAUAACUUGAAUUCCGUGGAUACAAUUUCAAUGAUUUUCUGAUUUUCUGAAAGCUUAGAAAGAGACCUUUCAAAUGGUGUCAUCAAAGUUUAUAUUUGAGAGAUAAUAAAGUAUUUGCCAAUUUGGCCAUAACAUGAAUAAAAUAGCCCAUGGGGUCCAAGGCGGAAAAUUACAAAUUAGGGCCCCAACAAAAUUUUGGAUCGAAACACAUCAUUUGAAAGGUCUCUUUAAUUCUAAGCUUUCAGAAAUCAUAACAUUUUUGACAUUGGAUCAACGGUAUUAAAGUUAAUGGCUGUUGAAAAAUCAGGUUUGUUUUUAGAGAUAUCUUUUAGAGGCCAUAACUUGUGUUAGGAACGUCCUAUUUAAAAAACUCAAAGACGCAUUCUGUAGCUCUGAGAAAGCACUAUUGUAUACAAUUAAAGUGUCUUAAAACCGCUAAUUGCUCGCAGUGCCAAAGCUCACUAAUUUGUGUGUCCUAUGCUGUAGAUGUGGGAACACGGAACCAUCGUCGGUUGUGUGCAGUGUAUUAUAGUCGUACCCCCGGGUUUGAAGUGUCCAUGGACUACUGGACCGUGUCAUGCAGCUGCUGGAGGUGUCCUUCACCAAAGAUGGCAGUGGAUACUUCCUCAAGGCAGCUAAAGACUCUACCUAGUUCCCGGGCCGUUGUGCAGAGGUGUGUGUACGUGGGAAGGUGAUUGGGAAACUGGGCAUGCUCCGUCCUGGUGUGUCUGUUGUGCAGCUCUAGUGUGUGUGAGACUGGGAGGUGUGUCUGGUGCAGCUGUUCUCACGGCCUCCUCCAACCAGUACCUGCCCUCCGUACUCUCCAGGGAGAACCUAUCUCUUCAGGCCUACUAUGCUGCUCACUCUAACUGACUCUUACGAUUAUUCUAGUAUUCAUAAUGUAAGUACGUACAUAUUGUAUACCAGUACAUGUGUUGUGUGUGGUGUCCCUAUAGUUGAGUGUGAGUGUGAGAGGCCAUAUAUAUAAGGAGGACAUACGUGUGUCGAGGCUGGAGGUGGCCCGUGUGCUGAGGGAGAGAAAUGAGUACAAAGAGAAGUACCUCUCACUAUUGGAGCAGAUUAGGUAAAGGGUCAUCGUGUAGUGUUUGUAAAGCGGUCAUCAUAACUUUAAUAACUGCUAAUACAUACUAACACUGUGUAUCCAGAGGAGGUUCGACAGGUGCAGUGCAGCUCAAGCAAUUAGUCUCUGAUUACACGCUUGCAUGAGCGGAUAAUUAGUGUUCAUGCAAUCAAAGGCUAAUACAUACUAACACUGUGUAUUUGUACUAACAAUGUUAGUUGAUUAAUAAUAAUGUUUCUCUGUUGCACACGAUGAGUGCUGA